RNAcentral lists this ribosomal RNA (38 nucleotides) under Hebeloma sp. KGP23. RNAcentral describes it as "partial 18S ribosomal RNA". Lineage: Eukaryota; Fungi; Basidiomycota; Agaricomycetes; Agaricales; Hymenogastraceae. The record is from RNAcentral.
CGUAAGGUUUCCGUAGGUGACCUGCGGAAGGAUCAUUA